GACGAACGCUGGCGGCGUGCUUAACACAUGCAAGUCGAACGGAAAGGCCCUGCUUUUGUGGGGUGCUCGAGUGGCGAACGGGUGAGUAACACGUGAGUAACCUGCCCUUGACUUUGGGAUAACUUCAGGAAACUGGGGCUAAUACCGGAUAGGAGCUCCUGCUGCAUGGUGGGGGUUGGAAAGUUUCGGCGGUUGGGGAUGGACUCGCGGCUUAUCAGCUUGUUGGUGGGGUAGUGGCUUACCAAGGCUUUGACGGGUAGCCGGCCUGAGAGGGUGACCGGCGACAUUGGGACUGAGAUACGGACCAGACUGCAACGGGAGGCAGCAGUGGGGAAUAUUGCACAAUGGGCGGAAGCCUGAUGAAGCAACGCCGCGUGCGGGAUGACGGCAUUCGGGUUGUAAACCGCUUUAGCAUGUGACGAAGCGUGAGUGACGGUAAUGGGUAAAGAAGCACCGGCUAACUACGUG
Molecule: ribosomal RNA, 468 nt
Filed under: uncultured bacterium
Lineage: Bacteria
Description: partial 16S ribosomal RNA
Rfam family: Bacterial small subunit ribosomal RNA
Source: RNAcentral